UACGGAGGGUGCAAGCGUUAUCCGGAUUCACUGGGUUUAAAGGGUGCGUAGGAGGGCAGGUAAGUCAGUGGUGAAAUCUCCGAGCUUAACUCGGAACUGCCGUUGAUACUAUCUGUCUUGAAUCCCGUGGAGAUGAGCGGAAUAUGUCAUGUAGCGGUGAAAUGCUUAGAUAUGACAUAGAACACCAAUUGCGAAGGCAGCUCGUUACACGAAGAUUGACUCUGAGGCACGAAAGCGUGGGGAUCAAACAGG
RNAcentral lists this ribosomal RNA (252 nucleotides) under uncultured bacterium. Its description in RNAcentral is "partial 16S ribosomal RNA". It matches the Rfam family "Bacterial small subunit ribosomal RNA", at positions 524 to 776 of the family's 1533-position model. The record is from RNAcentral.